CUCUCCAAUUGUUUUUGCUUGCAUAAAUGAUUUUUGGAUUCGGAGCGAGUGGCGAACUGGUGAGUAACACGUGGGUAACCUGCCCCGAAGCGGGGGAUAACAUUUGGAAACAAGUGCUAAUACCGCAUAAUUAGUUGGAACCGCAUGGUUCCAACUUGAAAGAUGGCUCUGCUAUCACUUUGGGAUGGACCCGCGCCGUAUUAGUUAGUUGGUGAGAUAAAAGCCCACCAAGACGAUGAUACGUAGCCGACCUGAGAGGGUAAUCGGCCACAUUGGGACUGAGACACGGCCCAGACUCCUACGGGAGGCAGCAGUAGGGAAUCUUCCACAAUGGACGAAAGUCUGAUGGAGCAACGCCGCGUGAGUGAUGAAGGUUUUCGGAUCGUAAAACUCUGUUGUUAAAGAAGAACAAGUGUUAGAGUAACUGUUAACACUUUGACGGUAUUUAACCAGAAAGCCACGGCUAACUACGUGCCAGCAGCCGCGGUAAUACGUAGGUGGCAAGCGUUGUCCGGAUUUAUUGGGCGUAAAGCGAGCGCAGGCGGUUUUGUAAGUCUGCUGUGAAAGCCCUCAGCUCAACUGAGGAAGUGCAGUGGAAACUACAAAACUUGAGUACAGAAGAGGAAAGUGGAACUCCAUGUGUAGCGGUGAAAUGCGUAGAUAUAUGGAAGAACACCAGUGGCGAAGGCGGCUUUCUGGUCUGUUACUGACGCUGAGGCUCGAAAGCAUGGGUAGCGAACAGGAUUAGAUACCCUGGUAGUCCAUGCCGUAAACGAUGAAUACUAGGUGUUGGAGGGUUUCCGCCCUUCAGUGCCGCAGCUAACGCAUUAAGUAUUCCGCCUGGGGAGUACGACCGCAAGGUUGAAACUCAAAGGAAUUGACGGGGGCCCGCACAAGUGGUGGAGCAUGUGGUUUAAUUCGAUGCUACGCGAAGAACCUUACCAGCUCUUGACAUCUUCUGCUAACCCAAGAGAUUGGGCGUUCCCUUCGGGGACAGAAUGACAGUGGUGCAUGGUUGUCGUCAGCUCGUGUCGUGAGAUGUUGGGUUAAGUCCGCACGAGCGCACCUAUUAUUAAUUGCCAGCAUUUAUUGGCACUUUUAAGGAAACUGCCGGGAUAAACCGGGGAGGUGGGGACAACGUA
RNAcentral lists this ribosomal RNA (1142 nucleotides) under Apilactobacillus kunkeei. RNAcentral describes it as "bacterial SSU rRNA". It matches the Rfam family "Bacterial small subunit ribosomal RNA", at positions 67 to 1186 of the family's 1533-position model. The record is from RNAcentral. Lineage: Bacteria; Bacillati; Bacillota; Bacilli; Lactobacillales; Lactobacillaceae.